CAUUGUCGAGACCCAAAAAAGAUCGAGCAAAUUUGACAACCUGUGGAUUAUGAGUGGUGUUGGUGAUUAUCAUCGCCCUUGAUCACCCAGGCUGUUGUCCCCUCCCAUCACUGGGAGUUGUGGCAAGAGGUUGGAUGGGAAACAUUCUCAGCGCAGCACUGCGCCAAGGAAUUGCUCAAAGUGGGCAAACACGCCACAUGUUGAAUCCCGGUGGGUUUGGCAGCUUGUGGUGUGGCUGCUUAUUAUGGAUAGUAGGACUCUCGGCAAUGGAUAUCUUGGCUCUUGCAUCGAUGAAGAGCGCAGCGAAAUGUGAUACGUGGUGUGAAUUGCAGGAUCCCGUGAACCAUCGAGUUUUCGAACGCAAGUUGCGCCUGAGGUCGAUUGGCUGAGGGCACGUCCGCCUGGGCGUCAUGCAUUGUCUCGCUUCUUCCAUCACGCCCGCUUUAAUGAGGCGAUGCUGAUGGCUUGGAUGCGGAGAGUGACCCGUUGUGCGUAACCUCGCGCGUCGGGUUGAAGAGUGGUUUGCUUUCCUCCUCGACAUGGUUGAUACGGGGUGGAUGCAUAGCCAUUCUGUCGGCGCACAUUAUCACCGUCGUGCCAUUUCAUGGGAGGGGGUCAUCUAUCAUCCGAGCGGAGCUUACCUUGUGUAGAAGGCACCGCCUUGAAAUGCGACCCCAGGAUGGGCGGGAU
Molecule: ribosomal RNA, 690 nt
Filed under: Cryptostylis ovata
Lineage: Eukaryota; Viridiplantae; Streptophyta; Magnoliopsida; Asparagales; Orchidaceae
Description: eukaryotic LSU rRNA
Rfam family: 5.8S ribosomal RNA (bases 256-411)
Source: RNAcentral